This 669-nucleotide ribosomal RNA is filed under the name Desulfovibrionales bacterium LSR-S1F9. RNAcentral's name for it is "bacterial SSU rRNA". It matches the Rfam family "Bacterial small subunit ribosomal RNA", at positions 95 to 745 of the family's 1533-position model. The record is from RNAcentral. Lineage: Bacteria; Pseudomonadati; Thermodesulfobacteriota; Desulfovibrionia; Desulfovibrionales.
GUGGCGCACGGGUGAGUAACGCGUGGAUAAUCUGCCCUUAUGAUUGGAAUAACAGUUGGAAACGGCUGCUAAUACCGGAUACGCUCAAAAUGAACUUUUUGAGGAAAGAUGGCCUCUGCUUGCAUGCUAUCGCAUAAGGAUGAGUCCGCGUCCCAUUAGCUUGUUGGCGGGGUAACGGCCCACCAAGGCAACGAUGGGUAGCCGAUUUGAGAGGAUGAUCGGCCACACUGGAACUGAAACACGGUCCAGACUCCUACGGGAGGCAGCAGUGGGGAAUAUUGCGCAAUGGGCGAAAGCCUGACGCAGCGACGCCGCGUGAGGGAUGAAGGUUUUCGGAUCGUAAACCUCUGUCAGAAGGGAAGAAACUACGUUGUGCUAAUCAGCAGCGUACUGACGGUACCUUCAAAGGAAGCACCGGCUAACUCCGUGCCAGCAGCCGCGGUAAUACGGAGGGUGCAAGCGUUAAUCGGAAUUACUGGGCGUAAAGCGCACGUAGGCUGUAGUGUAAGUCAGGGGUGAAAUCCCNCGGCUCAACCGUGGAACUGCCUUUGAUACUGCACAACUUGAAUCCGGGAGAGGGUGGCGGAAUUCCAGGUGUAGGGAGUGAAAUCCGUAGAUAUCUGGAGGAACAUCAGUGGCGAAGGCGGCCACCUNGGACCGGUAUUGACG